GUGAGGAAUAUUGGGCAAUGGGCGCAAGCCUGAUCCAGCCAUGCCGCGUGCAGGAAGACGCAUCUAUGGUGUGUAAACUGCUUUUGUACGGGAAGAAACACUCCCUCGUGAGGGAGCUUGACGGUACCGUAAGAAUAAGGAUCGGCUAACUCCGUGCCAGCAGCCGCGGUAAUACGGAGGAUCCAAGCGUUAUCCGGAAUCAUUGGGUUUAAAGGGUCCGUAGGCGGUUUAAUAAGUCAGUGGUGAAAGCCCAUCGCUCAACGAUGGAACGGCCAUUGAUACUGUUAGACUUGAAUUACAAGGAAGUAACUAGAAUAUGUAGUGUAGCGGUGAAAUGCUUAGAUAUUACAUGGAAUACCAAUUGCGAAGGCAGGUUACUACUUGUGGAUUGACGCUGAUGGACGAAAGCGUGGGGAGCGAACAGGAUUAGAAACCCUGGUAGUCC
Molecule: ribosomal RNA, 445 nt
Filed under: uncultured bacterium
Lineage: Bacteria
Description: partial 16S ribosomal RNA
Rfam family: Bacterial small subunit ribosomal RNA
Source: RNAcentral